This is a non-coding RNA of Podarcis lilfordi (Lilford's wall lizard), 5837 nucleotides long. Lineage: Eukaryota; Metazoa; Chordata; Lepidosauria; Squamata; Lacertidae. The record is from the annotation of a GenBank genome assembly.
CAGGGUAUAAAUAAUAAAAUUGUUGUUGUUGUUGUUGUUGUUGUUGUUGCUGUUGUGGCCUGAGGGUCACAUUCGCACAUGGGUAAUUUUUUGAGGGUCACAUGCCAGUAGUGGAUGGGGCCAGAGACAUAAAAAUGGGCAGAGCAAUGUGGGAAACUCUUACUUUUGCACCAUAGGCUAUAUUCCAGCCAGACAAAAAGCAGAGGUUUCUAAAGAGACAUCCCUCCAUCCACUAGCCAGGCAGAAGUACUCAAGGAGCGGACAGAGCAUGGCUGAUGAUGUGAAGUCUGGGUAGAGGGGGUUCAGCCUAGAAAGAAUAUAUGGCCUAGGAAGAGUCUCAAGAGCUGACAGACAGCUUGAGGUUUCUCACACCUGCCUUAGGCUAUCUCCUUGAGUAUAUAUAGACAGUCCAUUAAAUCUUUAGAGACAGUGUGGUGUAGUGGAGUGUCAGACCUGAGACAUGUUUGAAUCCCGACUUGGCCAUGAAGCUCACUGUUUGACCCUGGUCCAGUCACUGCCUCUCAGCCUAACCUACCCCACAGGGUGGUUGUGGGAAUUAAAAUAGGGGGAGAACCACGUAUGCCACCAUGAGCGGUUUGGAGAGAAAGGUGGUAUAGAAACGAGAUAAGUAAAUAAAUGUUCAUUUAGUUCCUCAUUAAAGCAUCGUUUCACCCUUUCUCCAAAUUGACUUUUGAGAUUUUGGUGCAUGUUUGUGACAGGCCCAAAGUAACUAUUUGUCCCAUUGUGUGUAAGGUUCUCAAGAUCCGAAGAAAAGCAAUCAGUUCCUUGGCCUGUGUUAAAACAGAAUAACAUGCAAAUACUAAGGAUUCAGGUGCCCUGGAAAACUGUGUUUCCCAGGGUCCCAGCAGUAUCCCAAUCACUGCUGUUGCAGUGUUCCUGUUGCUAAUUUAGUAAGCAUCCCCAUCAGUACUAAGAUGGAAAGCAGUUUUCCAAGGCAAUGGGUUAUGGCUGCCAUUUUUCUAUAGGCAAACGAGCAUGUCAGAAAGGGUGGGAUAGCCUCUGGGGAGUUGGUCCAAUCAACUUUUAGGGACAGGCCCUAUUUAAGCUGCUGAUUUUACUCUCAGCCAGUGCUCUCAAGGCCCCUACAGUAAAAACGGCUUGAGGGGCAUUACUCUGGAACUAGCCUUGAUUUAGUAUGCCCAGUGCCAGAUUUAGGGAAGUGCAGGCAAUUCCCUCACACAGGGUGCUAAGGUGUGGGGGAGCAAAUUAACUACAACAAACAAACAAACAAACAACCCUAUAUUUAUAUGUGUACCUAAAAGUGAGGAGGGACGUCAAAUUUUGUCCUCGCUCCAGGUGCCAUAUUGCCAAAGUUUGUCUCUGAGAUUUUCCAGCUAUGGUAAGAAAAGCAAGUCUUUCACUUCAAAGAGGGAGAUGAGCCAUUAAGAAAGGUCAAUGUUUUGGCCAGGGAUGCAUUUGAUAUGUACUUUAAGCAAGUGAUGUCGAUAUCAAUUUGGAAAUUAGUAUAAGAUACACAUCUCUGCCAGUUUGCCACUCUUCAUAUAAAAUUCUGCUUUGCUGGAGACAGGUUUCCAGAGCUUUUUCAUCACAGAGCUCCCCACUUUUCUCAAAUUCUUCCCUAGGCAAUUAUAGCCCGUGCUUUAAAAGCGCUUAAUUUUGAUUAGAUCUCUGACUGACCUUGUGAAUUUUGUUCAGAGGGACUAACACAACUUAGACAGGUGACUUUAAUUUUUAGAUCAACCUUAUGUAACCCAUGAAAAAAAAGGAUUUGACAAUUUUUGCAUAUUUUUAUAUAAGGUUGUUCAUGCUUGGGCUUGUAAGUUAUUUAGAAAAAGGAGGAAAUCCUGAGAAGCUAGCAACAAAAGAAAUUAUAUGAGAAUGAAAGAGGGUACUUCAAUGUGACCCAAGCCUUCAAGCCUAGACAAUAUUUUCUGUUUUCCUAUACUAAUAAAUAAAAAAGUUCAGUGAGCUUGCCAACAUGUCAUCUUUGUCAGAAUCCUUUUUGCUGUUGUUUCUUUAUGUUUUGCCAGAGAACACAAGAAUCAGCGUUAUGAAAAAUGUAUGCUGUUGUCAAGUACGUACAAGUAAUUUCUGUGAAGUGUUAACUAAGAAGGACUUAGCUGCCAAAUUUUUAAGUAUAUAUUUGUUUUUAAGCACUUUUAUAUAUUCAUUCUUCUAUGUAGGAAUUAUCAAAAUAUGAUAAUACAGCUCUUCAAAUUCUCACUUCAAAUAUAAUAGUCUAACCUGAGACGACCAAUCCUGCAAACUAAGUAAUUUUUCUUAUAUCCAUCGAAUUUCAGCAACCGCUUGAAAUCCUGAAUCUCUUUUAGGUGCUGUUGAUAUAAAGAAGCUAGUUUUUCAUCUUCCCUCCAAGGAAAAAGAACACUCAGGCCAAACAUUAAUUAAUCUACAGCUGCCAAAAGUUUUAAAAAAGCUUUGUAAUAGGCAAUCCAGAAUGUUUGAAAGUUUUUGAAGCAACCGGAUGACUAGAUAUGAGAUGGAUAUGAGAUAGGGAGAUCUCUUAGCUGCAAUCCAGAGAUUGUCAAACACAGGGCGAUGUAGAUGACAUGUAGAUACAUGGGUAAUAAUGGGAACAGAAGGAAUGGGAUUGUCAAUUUCAGUUCAUAUUACAAGAAAGAUGAAGAGGAAAAUACCUUAGGAUAACAUGGAUUACUUGGUACUAUGCAUAGCUGUGUAUCCUACCUGUGUCUGCCAGGUGUUUGGCUCUGCUGAUGGGAUUCCCAGGCCAGUUUUGGAACUGUUAUACAGGAGCAGUUACUGGAUACAGUGGUACCUCGGGUUACAGAUGCUUCAGGUUACAGACACUUCAGGAUACAGACUCCGCUAACCCAGAAAUAGUACCUUGGGUUAAGAACUUUGCUUCAGGAUGAGAACAGAAAUCGUGUGGUGGCGGCGUGGCGGCAGCGGGAGGCCACAUUAGCUAAAGUGGUGUCUCAGGUUAAGAACAGUUUCAGGUUAAGAACGGACCUCCAGAAUGAAUUAAGUUCUUAACCUGAGGCACCACUGUAUGAGCAUCUAGCUAGGUGACCAAGGCAAAAGAAGAAAAAGAAUCACCACCAUAAUCUAGGGAUAUACACACAUUCCUAAAAGCAAGGAGUUUGUGAUAGGGCCUUUGACAAUGACAUCAGAUAUUGUAACAUUCACUACCAUUGAGGAAGGCAUAGUUCCAUACUUCAUUUGUUUUUAUGGUGAAUUCAGGCAUCUACUGCAGUGAUGAACACGUGAUACAAUAAAAAAAAAAUUCAGCUUUCAUCCACAUUGAGUUGUAAUAAUUAAAAUGCUCUGUCUAUACAUGGCGGAUAGAGAUUAUCAAGUAGGGCUGUCACAUUCCCUUCAAUAAUCGCAUGGGGAAUAUUGCCAUGUACAACUGCCUUUGAAAGACACUUUGCAAGUGAAAUGUAACUUCAUAUGGAUUAUUAUUAUUUUCAAUUUUGCAUGUUAGUUCCUAUCCCAGCUAAUCUAUAACAGGCUGAUUGGUUUCCUAUUGCACUUUGUGCUGAACUAUUUCACAACAGAGUUCCCUAUUCAAAGUAUUAACUAAGAUAUUGCUAUUGACAAUUGUGCUGGACUCUUACUUUCCACCUGGGGACACAGUUUCAUUCAUGUGCAUGUUGGCCAUAGGUGCAUAUUGACCUUUGUCAAGAUUAAAGAAAAUGUGUGUACAUCUUCCCAAGCAUUUGGUCCAGUUUUGCUGCUAUUAACAUAAAUUGUAUUUCACAAGUAAACAAUGGAUUUAGAAUAUUGCUGCCUUCCCAGACUCAGUGAAUGUGCCUCAGACUUAGCAAGACAUCCCCCCCCUUUAAAUUUAUUCUCUAUUACUGUAUAUUGUAUACUAGCUGGUGGUAAAUUGUAAAUAUGGCUACAACCUGCGGAGAUCUUUUUAAAAAGUGUUUAAAAAGCAAUUUAAGAUUCCAGUCAAUGGAUUAUUAAUUUACUUCAGAAUUUGUGGCUUAUAAUGUUCUUCUCAGUAACUCUGUGUGUGCGCUUUCGUUUAUAGUCAUACUGAGGAAAGUGGACUAUUUUCCCCUUUAAAAACAACAACAACAUAGCCUGCUACACAUCUCUUGCACCCCAAUUUAUAAAAAAACCACUUUGUUGUCUGCAAAUGGGCAGCAAUUUGUCAUUCCUUUCUGUUUCUUAAUGUGUCUGCCAGAUGCUGUGAAAAUGUAGUGUAUAAUAAUAUCCAGAGGAAAUUAGGGAAACAGAGCAAAUGCGUGGAUGCUGAUUUCUCGAAACUUCACUCAUUAACUCACAAGAGCAUAAACAUGUAAUAUCUAUGAUCUUAUCUGCCAAGCACCAUCCUUGCAAGAGAGUAGGUUUCUGCAUAUGCACUGCCCCAUGUACGAAGGUGAAUGCUGUGGUAAAAAAGCCUACAUCCACCACCCAGAGCUAGGUUCAGGGUGGAAACGGAAGUUUAUUGCAAAGAAGGAGAAGUACUGACUAGAGAAGAGUGGCCAACUAAGCUGAUGGAAUACACAGAAAUGGCGAGACUGACGGGAAAGAUCAGAAACCAGGAGGACUGUUAUGUACUGAAGUUCUCACCCUGGGCCAGCAGGGGGAUACUGUAGAUAGUUUUCACUCAGGUCCACAUAUGCAAAUAACGGAUUGAAAGUGACAUUCAGUGAUUGGAUAGUUACAGAAAGUGGUUACUGUUGCAUUGUAGUGGAGCUCUAUAUAAGCAGGCUGUCUGAACCCUUCAGUUCAGUUCUGUUCUGGCCUGUGAAUAAACAAGAGCUGUUUGAAGACUCACUGUGUCAUCUGAUAUGUUCACCCACAACUUAACAAAGACCAAGUAUUUUUAAAAGACUGGAAUAAUUUAUUUAUUUUUAAAUAAUUUGUAUUGGUUUUUACAAAUAUGUUCUUACAUGACAUAAUACUUUGCACAAAUAAAACAUUUGGCUCGAUGAGCCUGUAACUUCCCUCCUCCUUGACUGAUGGUUUUCAAGUCUAAUCUCAAUAUAUUGCAUUUUCCUGUAUUUCUUAUUCCUAUUAAAUUAUAUCCUUAUAAAGUUACUUAACUAACUACAAUUAGUAAUAAAUGAUAAUUGUAUCCUUACAAAACUUCUUAUAACCUUACUAGCAAUGUUCAUUGUUUACAUUUCUCUUUCAAAUAUAACAUAAAUUUCUUCCAGCCUUUCUGAAAAGCCUGGUCCUGCUGGUUCCAGAUUUCCCCCGUCAGUUUUGCAAUUCAGCAAAGUCCAAUGAUUUCAUCUGCCACUCUUCUUUCGUCGGUAAAUCUUUCUGCUUCCAUCUUUGGGCUAGUAGUAUUCUUGCUGCAGUUAUUGCAUAUAAAAACAAUGUUUUAUCCUGCUUAUGUAUUUCUCUGCCUACUAUGCCUAAUAGGAAAGCUUCUGGUUUUUAAAUAAACAUAUAUUCCAACAUUUUAAAAAGUUCAUUAUAUAUUAUUUCCCAGAAAGCUUUCACCUCCUUACAAACCCACCACAUGAUAAAAAACACCUUCUUUUUCUUUAUAUUUCCAACAUAAAUUAUUUGUUCUACACAUUUUCGCUAAUUUCACUGGUGUUAGGUACCAUCUGUACAUCAUUUUCAUUACAUUUUCUUUAAGCAAACUGCAAGCAGUACAAAAUAUUCCAUCUUUCCACAAUCUUUCCCAAUCUUCUAAAAAUAUCUUAUAACCAAUAUAUUUUGCCCAAUGGAUCAUUGCUAAUUUUACUUCUUCAUCUUUCGUAUGCCAUACUGGAAUAAUUUUUUAAUUUGUCUGAAAGACCACUGUAGACAAUUGAAAUCAUUGGCAGAAAUAAAAUGACACUUGUAGAGUAAAAUGAACUUUGGUUACUAUGAUUAUAUAAUAGAUGGAUUAUGGUAAAAGAUGC